AGUGAACGCUGGCGGUAGGCCUAACACAUGCAAGUCGAACGGCAGCACAGUAAGAGCUUGCCCUUACGGGUGGCGAGUGGCGGACGGGUGAGGAAUACAUCGGAAUCUACUUUUUCGUGGGGGAUAACGUAGGGAAACUUACGCUAAUACCGCAUACGACCUACGGGUGAAAGCAGGGGAUCUUCGGACCUUGCGCGAUUGAAUGAGCCGAUGUCGGAUUAGCUAGUUGGCGGGGUAAAGGCCCACCAAGGCGACGAUCCGUAGCUGGUCUGAGAGGAUGAUCAGCCACACUGGAACUUAGACACGGUCCAGACUCCUACGGGAGGCAGCAGUGGGGAAUAUUGGACAAUGGGCGCAAGCCUGAUCCAGCCAUACCGCGUGGGUGAAGAAGGCCUUCGGGUUGUAAAGCCCUUUUGUUGGGAAAGAAAAGCAGCAGGUUAAUACCCCGCUGUUCUGACGGUACCCAAAGAAUAAGCACCGGCUAACUUCGUG
Molecule: ribosomal RNA, 492 nt
Filed under: uncultured bacterium
Lineage: Bacteria
Description: partial 16S ribosomal RNA
Rfam family: Bacterial small subunit ribosomal RNA
Source: RNAcentral